ACGAACGCUGGCGGCAUGCCUCACACCUGCCAGUCGCACGCGACCUUCGGGUCUAGUGGCGCACGGGUGCGUAACGCGUGGGAAUCUACCCUCAGGUUCGGAAUAACUCAGAGAAAUUUGAGCUAAUACCGGAUGAUGACGUAAGUCCAAAGAUUUAUCGCCUGAGGAUGAGCCCGCUUAGGAUUAGGUAGUUGGUGAGGUAAAGGCUCACCAAGCCGACGAUCCUUAGCUGGUCUGAGAGGAUGAUCAGCCACACUGGGACUGAGACACGGCCCAGACUCCUACGGGAGGCAGCAGUGGGGAAUAUUGGACAAUGGGCGAAAGCCUGAUCCAGCAAUGCCGCGUGAGUGAUGAAGGCCUUAGGGUUGUAAAGCUCUUUUACCCGGGAUGAUAAUGACAGUACCGGGAGAAUAAGCUCCGGCUAACUCCGUG
RNAcentral lists this ribosomal RNA (432 nucleotides) under uncultured bacterium. Its description in RNAcentral is "partial 16S ribosomal RNA". It matches the Rfam family "Bacterial small subunit ribosomal RNA", at positions 29 to 507 of the family's 1533-position model. The record is from RNAcentral.